GGGCGGUUAGCUCAACUGGUUAGAGCACUUGAUUUACAUUCAAGGGGUUAGAGGUUCGAGUCCUCUACCGCCCA
RNAcentral lists this transfer RNA (74 nucleotides) under Gammaproteobacteria bacterium RIFCSPHIGHO2_02_FULL_42_13. RNAcentral describes it as "tRNA-Val". It matches the Rfam family "tRNA". From Rfam's summary of the family: Transfer RNA (tRNA) molecules are approximately 80 nucleotides in length. Their secondary structure includes four short double-helical elements and three loops (D, anti-codon, and T loops). Further hydrogen bonds mediate the characteristic L-shaped molecular structure. tRNAs have two regions of fundamental functional importance: the anti-codon, which is responsible for specific mRNA codon recognition, and the 3' end, to which the tRNAs corresponding amino acid is attached (by aminoacyl-tRNA synthetases). tRNAs cope with the degeneracy of the genetic code in two manners: having more than one tRNA (with a specific anti-codon) for a particular amino acid; and 'wobble' base-pairing, i.e. permitting non-standard base-pairing at the 3rd anti-codon position. The record is from RNAcentral. Lineage: Bacteria; Pseudomonadati; Pseudomonadota; Gammaproteobacteria.